UACGUAGGGGGCUAGCGUUGUCCGGAAUCAUUGGGCGUAAAGCGCGUGUAGGCGGUCCGGUAAGUCCGCUGUGAAAGUCGAGGGCUCAACCCUCGAAUGCCGGUGGAUACUGUCGGGCUUGAGUACGGGAGAGGCGAGUGGAAUUCCUGGUGUAGCGGUGAAAUGCGCAGAUAUCAGGAGGAACACCGAUUGCGAAGGCAGCUCGCUGGGACGUCACUGACGCUGAGACGCGAAAGCGUGGGGAGCAAACAGG
RNAcentral lists this ribosomal RNA (253 nucleotides) under uncultured bacterium. RNAcentral's name for it is "partial 16S ribosomal RNA". It matches the Rfam family "Bacterial small subunit ribosomal RNA", at positions 524 to 776 of the family's 1533-position model. The record is from RNAcentral.